Long non-coding RNA from Lagenorhynchus albirostris (white-beaked dolphin), 434 nucleotides. RefSeq lists it as uncharacterized. The transcript has 3 exons. Lineage: Eukaryota; Metazoa; Chordata; Mammalia; Artiodactyla; Delphinidae. The record is from RefSeq and is a predicted model, not a curated record.
AAGAAUCCUAAGGCACAGAGAGGUUAAGCAAUUUGCUCAAGGUCACACAGCGAGUAGUAGCAGCAUAGGAAUUCGCACAUGGGCAGCCUGGCUGUGCACUCUGUCCUGAGCUCAGCCAGGCACCUGCGGAGAGACCCUCACACUUCCCCAUCUGCCUAUACCAGUGGUUCUCAACCAAGAGCAAUUUUGCCCCCCGAAGGACAUGUGGUGAUGUCUAGAGACGUUUUUGAUUGUUGUGACGAGAAGGCUGCUACUGGCACCUAGGGUCUUUACAUGUGGAAGAGGGAGGCAGAACAUUGAUGCCCUGGGAGAAAGUCUCCACCAGCUAUUGAAGACGGGAGGGAGCCAGAAGCCCAGAAAAGCCGGCGACCCCUAGAAGCUGGAAAAGGCAAGAGAACCGGUUCUCUCCUAGAGCCUCCAGAAAAGGAACUUGG